Leopardus geoffroyi (Geoffroy's cat) is the source of this 2140-nucleotide long non-coding RNA. RefSeq lists it as uncharacterized. NCBI's taxonomy places the organism in Eukaryota, Metazoa, Chordata, Mammalia, Carnivora, Felidae. The transcript has 2 exons. The record is from RefSeq and is a predicted model, not a curated record.
UGGUUUAAGGGAGGUUUCAGCACCCUGAGGUCCUGAGGAACCAGCCGGGGGAGAUCACCAGCUGCCAACAGAAGAUGCCUCUGUAUCCAAGGAACAGCUCACCUUUCCUCCUGGCAUGCUGUUCUCCACUGGCUCCCGCUGGCCAAGAAGUGAGUUGGCCUGAUAUUUUGGCAAUGGUCUUGGGUCUGUGCUCUGGUACAGGUGGUCCUGAUUCUUUGGUAGCUGCGCAGACCCUGAUGUUGAUGUGUCUGUAGCUGAUCUGAUUUAAGAUCUGGUUUCUUAGCACGAUCAAAGCCUAAGGUCUAUACAACUCUCUCUACCCUCUAUCUUGAAUCCUUCAUCCGGUCUCCUCCCCUCCUCCCCAGCCAACUUUUGCCCACCUCAGCUUUGGCUGGUGCUGUGGGUCUUCUUCGUCUCAGCGGUGACCUGAUCCAACUCUACAAGCAGUGAUUGUCCUGCUCUCCUGCUCCCUGGUCAGCCCAUUUUCACCUGGAUGCCAAUGGCUCUCAACCAGCAUCUCCCUGUAAGGCCCCCCAGAGGCCACCUGGGACCAUCUGGACCCCGAACUAUCUUGUUUGAGUCAGCCAAGGCUGGGUAUUGAUCUGUAUGCAGACUGUUUGGAAUUUAGAAAACGCUUUCUCUCUCCACAAGUCUGAAUUGUUCGACUAUCUCCCUACAGACUCCGGAAAGUCAGCGUUGAGGCUCGAUGUAGAUCAAGAACUUCUUUGUUCCAGGCAGCCCUUACUCUUCACCUUAGUUGAGUGAAAACCCUCAUGGCUGAACUCGAAGGGUGGAAAGUCUACAGGGGGAACAAAGCAGCAUGGUGAGGAGGGAGACAAACAUUAGAAGACAUGUCAGAGAGAUCAUUACCCCCUAACACACAGCAGAGGCAGGAUUUUGAUCCUGUCUUCAUGUGUCCUGAUGCCAAUCUUUAUGCAUGAGUGUCAUGGGCACAUAGAGGAGGGGCCCUAAUUGCCUGGCUGGGGCUGGGGCGGGGGUAGCUGGGGGCAGGCUUUAGAAAAGGUGACUUCUAGCUUAGUCUUGAAGAUCAAGGGUUACGCUUCUCAGUUAUGCGUGCCAUGGUGUUAGGGACAAAAGAGACAGCAUGGGAGUGGAAUGUGGGGACACACAAUAGUCUGCAGUGAGACUGCCUAUAUUCAUUCAUCCGUUCAGUAAGUGGUUUUUGAGCAGAGGAUGGCAUUGGUAUGACAGCAGAAAAUCUAAUGAGUUUUCCUCUCCCCAUUCUUGGGGCUGCUGGGCAACUCUGUAGAUGGUGGUACCAUGCUGGCUAUGAAAAGCACAGGAGAUUGGAGGUGGCAGGGGAGAUGGUUACUUCUGAGUAGAUAAGCUGAGUCUGCCCAACUAGGGCAAAUGCCCACACGUGCCAUUUCUGGUGGAAUUGGUCUGAAUCGGUGUUUCGGUUAUCCCUUGCUGGCUGACAACCCACCCCCACAACUCAGUGGCUUAAAACAACCGCUAUUUUAUUUCUUUCUUGAUAAGGUAUUGAUACCACCUUUCUUGACUGACUUAGCUGGGUGGUCCUUCUGCUCCUUGUGAUGUCAGCUGGGGCUGCAGUCAACCAAGGUCAGGAUCGAGCUGUUUAGUCCACAGGCAACUCAAGGGAAUUGCUGCUGUUACAACCACAGCUGGAUCUUUAAACUGCUAACCAAAGCUAAGGAAUGAAUAUUCUCCAAUGCAAAUGAGCAUGCCAUGCGGUGACUGUGGGCGGGGACCCUCCUCAAGAUCUUGGGGAGAGAGACUGCACCGGACUUGUAACGCUUUACACUGCUCAUCACUGAAUAUUUAAUUCUUGGAGGAGAAAGAAAAACUUUUCAUGUUCAGUUACUACUCUGUCAUUAAAGUUCUAUCAUCCACUUAGGUUUUGUGCUUUGUAGGGUUUUAGAGUCAUCCAUCACGAUGCAUUGGAACAUUUAGUAGCAUAGGUCGAAAGGAAGACGGGCUUCAGAUUAUUAAAGACAUUUCAUUAUUAAUAUAAUGUUUCUUUCAGGGUUUGUGAUAAGAGCAGUUCCACAUAUUUCCCAUGGUAAGAAUAAAAAUGAAACGAGCUAUGUGAAAAUACUUUGCCUGCUGUCAUUAUCACUAACAAUCACUCAAUAAAUAAGCGACCACGUCCUGGGUA